CCACCUGGGGGGAGAGAGGCAGUUAUUGGGGUCGGGGGGUGCCUGCGGGGGCACCGAGCCUCAUACCCAAAGGGGGUGUCUUCAUCCCAAACCAAACGCCCUGCAGGAAAGGAUCAAUCUUUCAAUGUCCCCAUCGUUAAAUCUUGCAAAGCUCAGGGUGCAAAGCCAAAAAGAGGGGUGGGGGCUCCCCCAAAACCGGUUCCCCCCAUGCCUCAGGGAGCCCCGUGUCUGCAGCGGUGCCCAAAAAGACCCGGGUGCUGUGAGGACCUGCUGCUGUGAGGAUGGGCACCAGCACUACAGGGAAACCCUACAUGUUUCUGAGCCACAGGGAAGGGGGCACUGCUUCACGGCCUCCUUGCUCCUGGGGAGAGAGGACGGACACCCCGAGCCCCGCAUCGUGCAGCCUCCAACUCGUUUUCCAUUACACAAGACCGAUGCCAACCCGUGGCACAGUGUGCACAGAUGCACUUGCAUCAUUAGCUGCAAAAAAACUUUCCUGUCUUAUGUAACAACAACAAAAGAAAACCCUUAAACCUUCCUGGUUUUCCUCCUUUUCUCCUUUCUGUUUUUCUCCCUAUUUCCUUUUAUCUCCACUCAUUUUUUUCCCAGGACAGCUCCCUGUUGGUGUUUUUAUGUGCAGCAAGCCAUGCUGCUUCCCCAUCCCUCCCCCUCUCCUUGCAGUGGUAUGUGGAUGAAAAACAGCCAGCGCCUUUUUUUUUUUUUUUUUCCUCCAAAAACUUUGAAAACAAAAGACAAAAUCGCAGCCCGGCCCGAGCCUUUCCCUCACUUGAAUCAACACCAAGACAACAUUGAGACAUGGAAGGAUUCUGCUUCCCAAACACAGCUGUGUUUGCGAGUCCUGCGAUGCCAGGGGAUGGGAAGGGCUGGAAAAAGCGGCCUGACCCCUCCUGUCCAGGGGAGAAGCUCCCGCGGGCUCCUUCCAAGGAAUCGGAGCGGUGACAGCAGUCACGGAGAGGGGCUGCUCGGCCUGCUGUCCCCUCACGGCCAAACGACGACCGCCCAGAGGACGAAGGGCGAGAGCAAAGGUUGAAUUUUACGGGCAGGCACGGGGAUCCUCGCAUGGGUUCGCCCCCAGAACCUCGACCACCACCGAGUGCCCCCCGGGGAGAGCCCUGAGCGAAGGGGAGAGCCCCGAAGGCCUCUCCUCACUCCUCACCCUCCUUCCCCAUCAGACCUCGUCCUUUCAGAUCAGGAGCGCCAGCACGGCCUGAACAAAAGCUUCUUGACCUACAAACUCCCGGCUGCCAACAUCGUUAACAUCGCGGCUCAACCUCCUUUUUCUCCUCCUCCUCAGCGACCAAACUCGCUGCUGGCAGCGGGAAGCAGACUGGCCUGUGCCUGGCGUGUGCUUUUCGGGAUGAAAGGGGAGCCCAUUAGGAUGAGCUGUCUCGACAAGCAGGUAACGAGCACAGAACAUCCGACUUUGCCCCCAUCCUCCCUGACAGGCCAUAAAUAACCGCAUCUCGGCAAGGCCCCAAAAUCAGGGUGGAUGGGAGCUGUAUGGCCACACAGGGCUGGUGGUGGCAGCAGGAGGGGUUCGCCCCGCUAGGUGCUGUGAGGAUGUGGCACGAAAUGGUGCCUCCAGCAGCAAUUAGGGCCGGGCAGGGCCACGGGAAGCACCUCAAGGCCCGUCCACGCGUGGUGCUGAGCAUCCCUGCAGGUUUCCAGGAAUCUGCCCCAACCCUGAGGGUUUAUCACCCACACCCCUGCUCAGGGGGGGGACACAGGGCAGGGAUGUGACCUCCAGCAGCCCCCAAACCUUCACCAUCACCUUCCUCGCAUGGGGCAGCGUGGCAGCCACCAGCAGCCACCUUCCCAACCCCACAGAUCCCAGAACGACCCCAAACCCUCCACCCCCCUGCCCCACAACCCCCACGACACCCAAACCUCACACGGCACCAUCCCACCCCCCUUGCCAUGGUCCCCCCGGCCCCCACAGUGGGUGCAGCACGGCGAAGCGAGCCGGGAUGGCUUGGGGGCACCCCCAUAACCCCCCCCCUAUGGCUUUUAUCCCGGUACCUGCCCGUAGUCCAGGCCUUCCAGCCCUCUGCAGCAAUCCCUCGGCCACCACCGCGACCCCGUUCCCCGCCGCCCACCCGCGGGGCCCCGCUCGCCCCCGGGGCCGUCCCGCAGGGCCAUGACCGGGGCUGGACGGGGGGGGGGGGGGGGCGGACGGGGCUCGUUUUUUUUCCCCUUUUUUUCCUUCCCCACCAGCACCAGCAGCACACGGUGGCGGUGCUGGGAAGUGUAGUCCGCCACCAAGAGGACUACAGGGCCCAGAGGACGCCGCGGAGAUGGAGGGGGGGGGAAAGGCAAGGAGGGAGCGGGGCCAUUCCCCCCAAAAAAAGCCUUGGGGGAGCACCCACCGAGCUCGGUGCCUUCGUCUCGGGGGGUUCCCGGCUUGUGUCCGGUUGCCGAGGGGGGGUGGCCGGAGCUGGACGCUCGCUGGACUUCGCCCCGGUGAAGCAAGAAGGAAAAAAAUAAAAGGGGGGGGGGGGAGAAUGGAGAUAGGAGGGGGAUGGAGGAGAACGGCACCGCCUGCAGCCCCCCGGGGUGGGGGGGAGGUGGGGUUGGGUCCCCUAGGGUCGUGUGGGGGGGACAAUGGGGUUGGGGAGGGGGACAGGGGGCUCUGAGACCCCCGGGAUGUCCUGGAGAAGUGGGGGGGGCAGUGGGGGGCAGGGGGAGCCUCACAGCCCUUUGGGGUCAAAUAGAUGGGGGAAGUGUGGGGCUUGGCAAAGGGCAUGGGGUUUGUGCCGUGUCCCGCAGCAGGUCAGUGUUUGGGGCCAAAAGCGGGGUUUUUGGUACAGAAAUUGCUGCUGGCGUCGCUGCUUGCUCAUCCCAGGGCAAAAUUUCAGCCCGGCAGCUCUGGAUGUGUUUUAGGGCUGAUUCACCGUGCCCCGCGCCCUUCAGCAGGUGGUACUGUUUGUAAUGACUGCGAUGAUGAUUCCUGGCGUUAUUUCGUUUCUGCUCUCCCCUCCGAGACGUUUCGGGUUGGUGCAGCUGGUGGGGAUCGGUCCUGUGUGUAGGAAUUCAGGACCAGCUCCUGCACUUUGGACUCUUGCACGAGGCUGGAUCCCAUCCCGGCCGGGCCCUACGAACGCGAUCACAGCAGAAAUUGCAGCGCUGGCUGGUUUGGGGUGGGAUGCAGACGAAAGCGCUGUGGGUGGGAGCAGCGUUCCCCGAAACGGAUUAUCUCCAGCUGCUUCCGGCCUCUUCUCCCUGGCGCUGGAUAAUUUUGCUGCGUUGAGUGUGUAAUUAUCGCCUCUGCCAUCUCCCAGCGCAGGAGGAUGUUUAUUUUGCAAGUCCCACCAGCUGGGUCCUUGGGGCAGAGGGGAGGGCGAAGGGGACGCGGUGGGGAGAGCAGUGACGGCAGUGCUCAGAAAAGGGGGAAAUGUCUCCCCAGGGAGAGAGCUAGCAGGGAGGAAAGCUCUCCAAAUGGGAGAACUUGUCCCUGGCUGGCUGGGAGAGGACAAGGACACCACGGCGGGCUGGGAGGAUGAUAAAGCUUCUGGGGGGAAACACGGGGCAGGAGCUGAAAUCCCUGGGAAGGAGCUGAGACUCCACAUUCAGGAGAGAAAACGGGGGAGGAAAAGGUAAAAUUGUGGGAAAGGAGCUGAGACCUGAAACGAAGAGGAGCUGAAUAAUAAAGCUUUUGGAGGGAAACACGAGGCAGGAGCUGAAA
Anas platyrhynchos (mallard) is the source of this 3703-nucleotide non-coding RNA. The record is from RefSeq and is a predicted model, not a curated record. Lineage: Eukaryota; Metazoa; Chordata; Aves; Anseriformes; Anatidae.